RNAcentral lists this ribosomal RNA (496 nucleotides) under Dendrelaphis pictus. Its description in RNAcentral is "partial 12S ribosomal RNA". The record is from RNAcentral. Lineage: Eukaryota; Metazoa; Chordata; Lepidosauria; Squamata; Colubridae.
GCCAAGCAGUAACACAACAAUUAAAUAACACAUUGUUCGCCAAAUAACUACGAGUAAAAACUUAAAAUUUAAAAGACUUGACGGUACCUCAUAACAACCUAGAGGAGCCUGUCUAAUAACCGAUACUCCACGAUUAACCCAACCUCAGCUAGCCUAACAGUCUAUAUACCGCCGUCGCCAGCUUACCUUAUGAAAGAAACAAAGUGAGCACAACAGUCAUACACUAAUACGACAGGUCGAGGUGUAACUUAUGCAGAGGUUAAGAUGGGCUACAUUUUCUAAUACAGAAAACACGAAUAAAUUAUGAAAACAAAACUGAAGGCGGAUUUAGCAGUAAGAUAAGAACAAAACACCUAACUGAAACAAAAGCAAUGAGGUGCGUACACACCGCCCGUCAUCCCUGUCAACCGAUUUACACUACAAAAUAUAUCAACGCACAACCUUAAAACAGGGCAAGUCGUAACACGGUAAGCGUACUGGAAGGUGUGCUUAGAAA